RNAcentral lists this unclassified non-coding RNA (336 nucleotides) under soil metagenome. Its description in RNAcentral is "partial contains 5.8S ribosomal RNA, internal transcribed spacer 2, and large subunit ribosomal RNA". The stretch from base 1 to 120 matches the Rfam family "5.8S ribosomal RNA", at positions 35 to 154 of the family's 154-position model. The record is from RNAcentral.
GAUGAAGAACGUAGCGAAAUGCGAUACGUAGUGUGAAUUGCAGAAUUCAGUGAAUCAUCGAAUCUUUGAACGCACAUUGCGCCCUUUGGUAUUCCAAAGGGCAUGCCUGUUCGAGCGUCAUUUGUACCCUCAAGCUUUGCUUGGUGUUGGGCGUCUUGUCUCCAGUCCGCUGGAGACUCGCCUUAAAGUCAUUGGCAGCCGGCCUACUGGUUUCGGAGCGCAGCACAAGUCGCACUCUUUUCCAGCCAAGGUCAGUGUCCAACAAGCCUUUUUUCAACUUUUGACCUCGGAUCAGGUAGGGAUACCCGCUGAACUUAAGCAUAUCAUAAGCGGGGA